GAACCUUACCUGGUCUUGACAUCCCGGAGACCCUUAGGAAACUAGGGGGUGCUUCCAUCUGGAAGAAUCUGGAGACAGGUGCUGCAUGGCUGUCGUCAGCUCGUGUCGUGAGAUGUUGGGUUAAGUCCCGCAACGAGCGCAACCCUUGCCUUUAGUUGCCAGCAGUUCGGCUGGGCACUCUAAAGGGACUGCCGGUGUUAAACCGGAGGAAGGUGGGGAUGACGUCAAGUCCUCAUGGCCUUUAUGACCAGGGCUACACACGUACUACAAUGGCCGAUACAAAGGGCAGCGACACUGCGAGGUGAAGCCAAUCCCGUAAAAUCGGUCUCAGUCCGGAUUGGAGUCUGCAACUCGACUCCAUGAAGUUGGAAUCGCUAGUAAUCGUGGAUCAGCAUGCCACGGUGAAUACGUUCCCGGGCCUU
This 422-nucleotide ribosomal RNA is filed under the name uncultured Desulfobulbus sp. Its description in RNAcentral is "bacterial SSU rRNA". It matches the Rfam family "Bacterial small subunit ribosomal RNA", at positions 966 to 1382 of the family's 1533-position model. The record is from RNAcentral. Lineage: Bacteria; Pseudomonadati; Thermodesulfobacteriota; Desulfobulbia; Desulfobulbales; Desulfobulbaceae.